UACGUAGGGGUCCAGCGUUGUCCGGAAUCAUUGGGCGUAAAGCGCGCGUAGGCGGCCAGAUAAGUCCGGUGUGAAAGUCAAAGGCUCAACCUUUGAAUGCCGCUGGAAACUGCCUGGCUUGAGUCCGGAAGGGGCGAGUGGAAUUCCUGGUGUAGCGGUGAAAUGCGCAGAUAUCAGGAGGAACACCAAUGGCGAAGGCAGCUCGCUGGAACGGUACUGACGCUGAGGCGCGAAAGCGUGGGGAGCGAACAGG
Molecule: ribosomal RNA, 253 nt
Filed under: uncultured bacterium
Lineage: Bacteria
Description: partial 16S ribosomal RNA
Rfam family: Bacterial small subunit ribosomal RNA
Source: RNAcentral